AACGAACGCUGGCGGCAUGCCUAACACAUGCAAGUCGAACGAGACCUUCGGGUCUAGUGGCGCACGGGUGCGUAACGCGUGGGAACCUGCCCUUAGGUUCGGAAUAACUCCCCGAAAGGGGUGCUAAUACCGGAUAAUGUCUUCGGACCAAAGAUUUAUCGCCUUUGGAUGGGCCCGCGUUGGAUUAGCUAGUUGGUAGGGUAAAAGCCUACCAAGGCGACGAUCCAUAGCUGGUCUGAGAGGAUGAUCAGCCACACUGGGACUGAGACACGGCCCAGACUCCUACGGGAGGCAGCAGUGGGGAAUAUUGGACAAUGGGCGAAAGCCUGAUCCAGCAAUGCCGCGUGAGUGAGGAAGGCCUUAGGGUUGUAAAGCUCUUUUACCCCGGGAUGAUAAUGACAGUACCGGGAGAACAAGCGCCGGCUAACUCCGUG
This 434-nucleotide ribosomal RNA is filed under the name uncultured bacterium. RNAcentral's name for it is "partial 16S ribosomal RNA". It matches the Rfam family "Bacterial small subunit ribosomal RNA", at positions 29 to 507 of the family's 1533-position model. The record is from RNAcentral.